This 69-nucleotide transfer RNA is filed under the name Marmota monax (woodchuck). Its description in RNAcentral is "tRNA.Met". It matches the Rfam family "tRNA". From Rfam's summary of the family: Transfer RNA (tRNA) molecules are approximately 80 nucleotides in length. Their secondary structure includes four short double-helical elements and three loops (D, anti-codon, and T loops). The record is from RNAcentral. Lineage: Eukaryota; Metazoa; Chordata; Mammalia; Rodentia; Sciuridae.
GGGCUGUAGCUCAGUUGGUAGAGAAUUUGCCUCAUAUGCACAAGGUCCUGAGUUCAAUCUCCAGCCCCA